CCUACGGGGGGCAGCAGUGGGGAAUAUUGGACAAUGGGGGCAACCCUGAUCCAGCCAUGCCGCGUGUGUGAAGAAGGCCCUCGGGUUGUAAAGCACUUUCAGUGAGGAAGAACGCCUGGUGGUUAAUACCCAUCAGGAAGGACAUCACUCACAGAAGAAGCGCCGGCUAACUCCGUGCCAGCAGCCGCGGUAAUACGGAGGGUGCGAGCGUUAAUCGGAAUUACUGGGCGUAAAGCGCGCGUAGGUGGCUUGAUAAGCCGGUUGUGAAAGCCCCGGGCUCAACCUGGGAACGGCAUCCGGAACUGUCAAGCUAGAGUGCAGGAGAGGAAGGUAGAAUUCCCGGUGUAGCGGUGAAAUGCGUAGAGAUCGGGAGGAAUACCAGUGGCGAAGGCGGCCUUCUGGACUGACACUGACACUGAGGUGCGAAAGCGUGGGUAGCAAACAGGAUUAGAUACCCCUGUAGUC
RNAcentral lists this ribosomal RNA (465 nucleotides) under Vreelandella stevensii. RNAcentral describes it as "partial 16S ribosomal RNA". It matches the Rfam family "Bacterial small subunit ribosomal RNA", at positions 338 to 795 of the family's 1533-position model. The record is from RNAcentral. Lineage: Bacteria; Pseudomonadati; Pseudomonadota; Gammaproteobacteria; Oceanospirillales; Halomonadaceae.